RNAcentral lists this ribosomal RNA (915 nucleotides) under Alternaria sp. TD18. RNAcentral describes it as "eukaryotic LSU rRNA". It matches the Rfam family "Eukaryotic large subunit ribosomal RNA", at positions 47 to 979 of the family's 3401-position model. Lineage: Eukaryota; Fungi; Ascomycota; Dothideomycetes; Pleosporales; Pleosporaceae. The record is from RNAcentral.
UAAACGUAAGGAAGGAACCCAACAGGGGAUUGCCCUAGUAACGGCGAGUGCAAGCGGCAACAGCUCAAAUUUGAAAUCUGGCUCUUUUAGAGUCCGAGUUGUAAUUUGCAGAGGGCGCUUUGGCUUUGGCAGCGGUCCAAGUUCCUUGGAACAGGACGUCACAGAGGGUGAGAAUCCCGUACGUGGUCGCUGGCUAUUGCCGUGUAAAGCCCCUUCGACGAGUCGAGUUGUUUGGGAAUGCAGCUCUAAAUGGGAGGUACAUUUCUUCUAAAGCUAAAUAUUGGCCAGAGACCGAUAGCGCACAAGUAGAGUGAUCGAAAGAUGAAAAGCACUUUGGAAAGAGAGUCAAACAGCACGUGAAAUUGUUGAAAGGGAAGCGCUUGCAGCCAGACUUGCUUACAGUUGCUCAUCCGGGUUUCUACCCGGUGCACUCUUCUGUAGGCAGGCCAGCAUCAGUUUGGGCGGUAGGAUAAAGGUCUCUGUCACGUACCUCCUUUCGGGGAGGCCUUAUAGGGGAGACGACAUACUACCAGCCUGGACUGAGGUCCGCGCAUCUGCUAGGAUGCUGGCGUAAUGGCUGUAAGCGGCCCGUCUUGAAACACGGACCAAGGAGUCUAACAUCUAUGCGAGUGUUUGGGUGUCAAGCCCGAGCGCGUAAUGAAAGUGAACGGAGGUGGGAACCCGCAAGGGUGCACCAUCGACCGAUCCUGAUGUCUUCGGAAGGAUUUGAGUAAGAGCAUGGCUGUUGGGACCCGAAAGAUGGUGAACUAUGCUUGAAUAGGGUGAAGCCAGAGGAAACUCUGGUGGAGGCUCGCAGCGGUUCUGACGUGCAAAUCGAUCGUCAAAUUUGGGCAUAGGGGCGAAAGACUAAUCGAACUAUCUAGUAGCUGGUUCCUGCCGAAGUUUCCUCGGGAA